This 468-nucleotide ribosomal RNA is filed under the name uncultured bacterium. RNAcentral's name for it is "partial 16S ribosomal RNA". It matches the Rfam family "Bacterial small subunit ribosomal RNA", at positions 28 to 507 of the family's 1533-position model. The record is from RNAcentral.
GACGAACGCUGGCGGCGUGCUUAACACAUGCAAGUCGAACGGAAAGGCCCUGCUUUUGUGGGGUGCUCGAGUGGCGAACGGGUGAGUAACACGUGAGUAACCUGCCCUUGACUUUGGGAUAACUUCAGGAAACUGGGGCUAAUACCGGAUAGGAGCUCCUGCUGCAUGGUGGGGGUUGGAAAGUUUCGGCGGUUGGGGAUGGACUCGCGGCUUAUCAGCUUGUUGGUGGGGUAGUGGCUUACCAAGGCUUUGACGGGUAGCCGGCCUGAGAGGGUGACCGGCCCCAUUGGGACUGAGAUACGGCCCAGACUCCUACGGGAGGCAGCAGUGGGGAAUAUUGCACAAUGGGCGGAAGCCUGAUGCAGCAACGCCGCGUGCGGGAUGACGGCCUUCGGGUUGUAAACCGCUUUCGCCUGUGACGAAGCGUGAGUGACGGUAAUGGGUCAAGAAGCACCGGCUAACUACGUG